GAGUAAUAUAUAGUUAAUCUGCCCCAAAGAGAGGGAUAACAGUUGGAAACGACUGCUAACACCUUAUAUGCCUUUAAGACAAAAGUCUGCAAGGGAAACAUUUAUGGCUUUGGGAUGAGACUGUACGGUAUCAGUUAGUUGGUGAGGUAAUGGCUCACCAAGACUAUGACACCUAACUGGUUUGAGAGGAUGAUCAGUCACACUGGAACUGAGACACGGUCCAGACUCCUACGGGAGGCAGCAGUGGGGAAUAUUGCACAAUGGACGAAAGUCUGAUGCAGCAACGCCGCGUGGAGGAUGACACAUUUCGGUGCGUAAACUCCUUUUAUAUAGGAAGAUAAUGACGGUACUAUAUGAAUAAGCGCCGGCUAACUCCGUGCCAGCAGCCGCGGUAAUACGGAGGGCGCAAGCGUUACUCGGAAUCACUGGGCGUAAAGAGCAUGUAGGCGGGUUAAUAAGUCAGAAGUGAAAUCCUAUAGCUCAACUAUAGAACUGCUUUUGAAACUGUUAACCUAGAAUGUGGGAGAGGUAGAUGGAAUUUCUGGUGUAGGGGUAAAAUCCGUAGAGAUCAGAAGGAAUACCGAUUGCGAAGGCGAUCUACUGGAACAUUAUUGACGCUGAGAUGCGAAAGCGUGGGGAGCAAACAGGAUUAGAUACCCUGGUAGUCCACGCCCUAAACGAUGCACACUAGUUGUUGCCAUGCUAGACAUGG
Molecule: ribosomal RNA, 712 nt
Filed under: uncultured bacterium
Lineage: Bacteria
Description: bacterial SSU rRNA
Rfam family: Bacterial small subunit ribosomal RNA
Source: RNAcentral